GACGAACGCUGGCGGCGUGCUUAACACAUGCAAGUCGAACGGAAAGGCCCUGCUUGCAGGGUACUCGAGUGGCGAACGGGUGAGUAACACGUGGGUGAUCUGCCCUGCACUUCGGGAUAAGCCUGGGAAACUGGGUCUAAUACCGGAUAGGAGCCAUUUUUAGUGUGAUGGUUGGAAAGUUUUUUCGGUGUAGGAUGAGCUCGCGGCCUAUCAGCUUGUUGGUGGGGUAAUGGCCUACCAAGGCGGCGACGGGUAGCCGGCCUGAGAGGGUGGACGGCCACAUUGGGACUGAGAUACGGCCCAGACGCCUACGGGGGGCAGCAGUGGGGAAUAUUGCACAAUGGGCGCAAGCCUGAUGCAGCGACGCCGCGUGGGGGAUGACGGCCUUCGGGUUGUAAACUCCUUUCGCUAGGGACGAAGCUUUUUGUGACGGUACCUAGAUAAGAAGCACCGGCUAACUACGUG
This 465-nucleotide ribosomal RNA is filed under the name uncultured bacterium. Its description in RNAcentral is "partial 16S ribosomal RNA". It matches the Rfam family "Bacterial small subunit ribosomal RNA", at positions 28 to 507 of the family's 1533-position model. The record is from RNAcentral.